This 38-nucleotide ribosomal RNA is filed under the name Dendrobium chrysotoxum. RNAcentral describes it as "partial 28S ribosomal RNA". Lineage: Eukaryota; Viridiplantae; Streptophyta; Magnoliopsida; Asparagales; Orchidaceae. The record is from RNAcentral.
GCGACCCCAGGACAGGCGAGGCCACCCGCCGAGUUUAA